ACCCGCUGAAUUUAAGCAUAUCAAUAAGCGGAGGAAAAGCAACUAACCAGGAUUCCCCCAGUAACGGCGAGCGAAGCGGGAACUGCUCGAGCAGCCAAUCUCUGGCGUGCAUCGUCAGCGAAUUGUGGCCGGAAGAGGCGGCCGCACCCGAGGCACCUCCGCCGGAGUUGACCUGGAAAGGCACGUCGGAGAGGGUGAUAGCCCCGUGCGGGGCGGAGGUGGCGAGGGUCGUCAACCGUCUUCGGAGAGUCGGGUUGUUUGGGACUGCAGCCCAAAGUGGGUGGUAAACUCCAUCUAAAGCCGAACAGCGGCACGAGACCGAUAGCGAACAAGUACCGUGAGGGAAAGGUGAAAAGCACUUUGGAAAGAGAGUUAAAGAGCCCGCGAAACCGUUAGGAGGGAAACGAAU
This 409-nucleotide ribosomal RNA is filed under the name Alectona millari. Its description in RNAcentral is "eukaryotic LSU rRNA". It matches the Rfam family "Eukaryotic large subunit ribosomal RNA", at positions 23 to 424 of the family's 3401-position model. The record is from RNAcentral. Lineage: Eukaryota; Metazoa; Porifera; Demospongiae; Tetractinellida; Thoosidae.